Molecule: long non-coding RNA, 668 nt
Organism: Serinus canaria (Common canary)
Lineage: Eukaryota; Metazoa; Chordata; Aves; Passeriformes; Fringillidae
Exons: 3
Source: RefSeq, a predicted model, not a curated record
AGCCGAGCCUGGGAGGAAUUCGGAGUUGCUCCCUUUCACCCGCCUCGGCCUUUCACGCUCCUCCGGCCGCAGCGUGUGCGUGUGCCCCCAGCCGGGGGCAGGGCCGAGGAAUGCCCCGGGGGAGGCGAUAACGCGCCGCUGUUGUGUUUUCCUUCUUCGGACGGAAGUUAAAGGCAGGAGGCCCAGGAAGGCGAGAAGAGGUACAAGAAGCACUUCUCCCACUGCUGUAGCAGAACAGCUCAGCUCAGAUGCACUGGAGGUAAAACCUACAGGGAAGGUGGAACGCGUGUAGUUGAUGGCAGAGGAAGCUAUCAUUACAGGUCUCAAAUGCUUAGCUUGGUAUCUGCUGCACUGCGUUCAACGACAAGGCAGCUCCUUUUGAGUAACGACUUCAAGCAAUUCUUAAGGUAACCAGCAAAUUCUCUCCAAGGCAAGUAAGGCUUUUGUCUUGUCAUUUCUCGAUGCUCCCUUCCAACUCGAUUAAAUGGAGGGGAAGCACUUCACAGAAGGAAAAAUCCUUCCUAUCGCUAACGAGCGGCUAAAAUAGAAGUAACACUCCUGUUUCCAGAAGAGCGGUCCGCUUUCUCCGAGAGGUGACGGACAUGGAUAAGAAGAAAUCACCUCCCAGCCUCACAGAGGAGCCGCUGCCCUGAGUACCUGUGCGAGGA